Molecule: ribosomal RNA, 379 nt
Filed under: Salmonella enterica
Lineage: Bacteria; Pseudomonadati; Pseudomonadota; Gammaproteobacteria; Enterobacterales; Enterobacteriaceae
Description: bacterial SSU rRNA
Rfam family: Bacterial small subunit ribosomal RNA
Source: RNAcentral
AAAUUGAAGAGUUUGAUCAUGGCUCAGAUUGAACGCUGGCGGCAGGCCUAACACAUGCAAGUCGAACGGUAGCACAGAGAGCUUGCUCUCGGGUGACGAGUGGCGGACGGGUGAGUAAUGUCUGGGAAACUGCCUGAUGGAGGGGGAUAACUACUGGAAACGGUGGCUAAUACCGCAUAACGUCGCAAGACCAAAGAGGGGGACCUUCGGGCCUCUUGCCAUCAGAUGUGCCCAGAUGGGAUUAGCUUGUUGGUGAGGUAACGGCUCACCAAGGCGACGAUCCCUAGCUGGUCUGAGAGGAUGACCAGCCACACUGGAACUGAGACACGGUCCAGACUCCUACGGGAGGCAGCAGUGGGGAAUAUUGCACAAUGGGCGC